GCAUGGUACAGAUGACAGCCUGAGCAACAUGCUGCGUUCUGGGCUGGUGGCCCUCUGCCCCCGGAGCAGAGUUGCCAUCCUGAGCUCUUGCUUUGCCAUUGCCCUGGAGAGUCCCCUGUUUCUCCCCUGUGUUGGCUCUCCAGUUUCCUCUGUACUAAGCCUUCCUUUUUCUGAGCUUAAUGUCUUCUUUAGGUACAGCACGUCCUCUAGUAGAUUCCUGAAGAAAAGAUCAUGGAAGGUUUCCUUUAACAACAAAUUCUGAACAGCACCAGAAUAUGGGUAAGUUAAU
RNAcentral lists this long non-coding RNA (289 nucleotides) under Equus caballus (horse). RNAcentral describes it as "lncRNA (ENSECAG00000054913.1)". The record is from RNAcentral. Lineage: Eukaryota; Metazoa; Chordata; Mammalia; Perissodactyla; Equidae.